ACUCCAAAGUUAGAGCAUGUGCGAUUCGUUUGUAAUUAUUGAGUUUCAUAUUUGCGUUCAAUAUAAACGUCAAUUCAUAUUUAGAAUUGGCAAAUAAACUGUGGUGCAUAUUCACAUUUGUCAAACACUCAAUUUUGGCCAAAAUAAUUGUCAUAAAUGUGGCAUUCCUGAAAUAUGCAUGUACAUAUUGGAUUUUAAUGUUGACCUAAGCUUCUGAGUUUGUCGCAAAGUCCAAAUUAAUUUUCAAUGUGUACACUUACCAAAUAUGGUUAACAGUUAGCAGUUAAUUGUUCGAUAGUCCAAGCAUUUCAAUUGGAAAUCACAUGAAGCUGGAAAUAUAUAAAGAAGAGAAUAAAGAGAAAUGUAAUUUCCAUAAUAUAGUACAAUCCACAGCACGUGUCAAUCAACGCUGACCGCUGCUCUUUAUCAUGCCAAUUAAAUUUUAAUUGCGACACUUUCCAAUCAAAUAAAAUCAAAAUCAAAAAGGAGGAAAAAGUUUCUAUCUAAAACUGCUUGCGGAAAUGCGACUGUCGGGCGUAACUAAUUGAAGUUCAAUGGAAAAAAUGGCCAAAAGUUAAUGAUGACAUUAAGACUGGCUGAAAGAUACAGCGGACAACAGCAACAGCAACAACAACAACAACAAGCAAACGGAACGACCAACAAAUCAUCAGCACACACAAAUCAUCGCACUCAGCAAAAGUAAAAUCACAAGAAGAAAAAAAAUACAAAAAAAUACAAAAUAAAGGAAGGCAAAGCACAAAAGACGGGUACGCGUGCAAAAGACGAUCAAAAAUCAAAAAAGAAAAAGCAAGAAACAAAAUUAUACACGAACAAAACAAAUAAGAAUGCUCUAGUCAAAAAAAAAAUUACAAUUCGCAGAUACUCUCUGAUUGACUUUUUCAAACUACUUUCAACACUAUUACAAGAUUAUCCUUUUGCUUUGCAUAAUUUUCAUUAUAAAUCAGAGUCUAUUAUAUUCCAUUUAUGAUUUCAUGCGAUUGCAAUUCUUUGCAACUUGCAUCUGAUUUGUAUAUUUGCAUAAAUAUAACAAUUGCAGCUUUAUAAUCAACUUUAUGACACCCAUUUCUCAACUACAUGCAGGGUAUAUGUAAAGCACAAAAUAAAUAAAAAG
Long non-coding RNA from Drosophila sulfurigaster albostrigata, 1132 nucleotides. RefSeq lists it as uncharacterized. The transcript has 3 exons. Lineage: Eukaryota; Metazoa; Arthropoda; Insecta; Diptera; Drosophilidae. The record is from RefSeq and is a predicted model, not a curated record.